Molecule: non-coding RNA, 127 nt
Organism: Canis lupus familiaris (dog)
Lineage: Eukaryota; Metazoa; Chordata; Mammalia; Carnivora; Canidae
Source: Rfam
GUCUACGGCCAUACCACCCUGAACGCGCCCGAUCUCGUCUGAUCUCGGAAGCUAAGCAGGGUCGGGCCUGGUUAGUACUUGGAUGGGAGAACUAAGGCAGGAAAACAUCCUUAGGAAAUUGUCUCCU